RNAcentral lists this unclassified non-coding RNA (338 nucleotides) under soil metagenome. RNAcentral's name for it is "partial contains 5.8S ribosomal RNA, internal transcribed spacer 2, and large subunit ribosomal RNA". The stretch from base 1 to 120 matches the Rfam family "5.8S ribosomal RNA", at positions 35 to 154 of the family's 154-position model. The record is from RNAcentral.
GAUGAAGAACGUAGCGAAAUGCGAUAAGUAAUGUGAAUUGCAGAAUUCAGUGAAUCAUCGAAUCUUUGAACGCACAUUGCGCCCUCUGGUAUUCCGGAGGGCAUGCCUGUUCGAGCGUCAUUUCAACCCUCAAGCAUUGCUUGGUGUUGGGGCACCGCCUGUAAAAGGGCGGGCCCUGAAAUCUAGUGGCGAGCUCGCCAGGACCCCGAGCGUAGUAAUUAUAUUUCGUUCUGGAAGGCCCUGGCGGUGCCCUGCCGUUAAACCCCCAACUUCUGAAAAUUUGAUCUCGGAUCAGGUAGGAAUACCCGCUGAACUUAAGCAUAUCAAUAAGCGGAGGA